RNAcentral lists this long non-coding RNA (1311 nucleotides) under Marmota monax (woodchuck). Lineage: Eukaryota; Metazoa; Chordata; Mammalia; Rodentia; Sciuridae. The record is from RNAcentral.
CUUUUGGUCUCGAACUUCCCAUUUAUUUAUGCUAUCCUAGAGAAUGAAUGAGAUGGAGAAAAAGAAAAACUGGAAGUUUAUCCCUGUCCGUAGAAAAGGAUGAGAAAACUGAAGGUCAUGGUAUCUAAGAAGAUAGGUUAAUAAAGUGUGAAGGAGAUACCAGACCUGAUUAUAAAAUGAAAUUAUAAGAACAUUAUGAUGAAGACAAUGCCUAAGGAAAGAGUUAAUUUUCCUAUACUUUGUAACUUUCAGAACUCUGUAGGAAUGUACCUACCUCACCUAAUUGCAAGUAUAAAUUGUAGGUUACUAUGCCAAUUAACUGCUGUCUAAACUAUAACAUCGUUGGCUUAGUUCUUAGAAGUGUAACUCUUCAGGAGAUAAAAUCAAAGUUAUCUUGAGUUACUGCUGCCUUGGGUUAAGGCCACUGAACAAUAUUAUUCGCAGGUGUUUUACUGUCUUUGUUUUACAGGUGUGAACUAGUUAUUGUAAAUUCUCUGUGCAUAAUGGCCCUUGGUCGCGUAGGUCAAGAAUUCAAACCCACCAAUGUUGUAAUGGUUAAGAAAUGUCAAAUUUCCUAUAAAAGCCCCAUGUAACCUCAGCGUGGGACCCAGAAUUUAAGAGCACUAGUUCAUCAGGGUCCGCCAGGGAAAAUAAACUGUUCUCCAAUACUGCAAGUGGUGCUUGGUCUCUUGCAGAGCAUGAUUUCCAUAACAAAAGAAGUCAUUUGUACAAUAAUUGGAGAGUGUCGGGAGUUGAAAAAAACUAUAAUGAUUUAUCUGAAGAAAAAUCAUUAAUCACAUACAGAAGCUUUCCUGGUACUGCUUUUACUUAUUGUAUGUCCAGUGCCUGGCAGUAUAAAAUAAGGAGUAGGUGGUCAAUUGCUGAAUUAAAUUAAACCAACAUGAAAAAACUUUAGAAUGUAUGCUGGACAAAUCAUAUAAAUGUCAGAAUUUUAGAAUGUUUUAAAAGAUGGCUAUGUCAAUUUUAUGAGCCUCAAAAAAAUGUUUCACACUCACUUACCACCUGGAUUAAUUCAGCUGUAAAUUCAGAAGUAGGUCAGCUUCCCAGACCUCCUGUGAAGUUAUCCAUCUGGGAAAAUGCUACCACUUUCUCUUUAACACCCAGAGGCCUUUAACAUUUGAAAGCAAAUUGCCCCUCAAAGUGCCUUUCUAGAAAAAAUGGAAAAGAUGUGCUCUACAUCCAGUGAGUGAAAAAUAAGAACAUGUUUAACCUACAACCUGAGGUUCAAAGCUAGGAAUAAAUUAUUACUUGAGAGCAUUGAGAGAGAUUCUCAAUAUUAUGUUAAAUAGG